Molecule: non-coding RNA, 1397 nt
Organism: Paramisgurnus dabryanus
Lineage: Eukaryota; Metazoa; Chordata; Actinopteri; Cypriniformes; Cobitidae
Source: RefSeq, a predicted model, not a curated record
ACCUCUGGGCAGAUUCUCCAUGUUCUUCUUUUAUGUGUAGCUGCUCACCUUAAACAGAUACAGUACAUUGAAGUAAUGUUUAAAACAAAUUAAGCCCUAUAAUAUUGUUUAUGUUUACAAUAAUUGGUAAAAAGUUUGACGGAUAAAAUGGUUCUUACCAUUCUCUAUAUAAGCCCCUCUGUUAACUUUUGUUCAAGCCUGUCUAGAUCUUUUAUCAGUCUAGAAAGAUGUUGGAGAAAAAACAUCAUCCUCUUCUAUAAUCUCCAUCUGUAAUUGGACUAACAACUGGACCAGUGAAUGCAGGCAACUUACUCUCCAUUCGACCUUGCAGGUCACACCAUGGUCUCAAGAGGGAAAAUGAGUGCUCUAUGGAUUGAACAGAAAAGGUGAAUCAAAACUCCAACCAUCUGUAUGAGGGUCUGGAUGGAUAAAGGAUGCCCACUGGAGCUGGAAAUGAUGGAUCAGGUGGAUCCACACUUGAACCAUCUGUAUGAUGAUCUGCACCCACUGGAUCUGUAAAUGGUGGUGCAGAGACCAAGUGUAGUAGGGUACACUACUAUGCAGGUGACAUUCUUUUGUUUAUUGAAGCUAUGACAAAUAAUUUGUCUGUUUAGUUAAUGUUUUAUACAGUGUAACUGUACCUAAACAUUGUUCCUUGAGGUCCUCUGCUAUUUACAUUUUGUAUGUCUUCCUUAUUUAACACACCUUAUUCAAAUCAUCAGCUCAUUAGUAGAGAUCUUCAUGAACUGAACUGAGGCUGUGUCCAAAUGUUCACACUUGUUGUCUUUGCACUAGACUACUUACAUUACGUUUUUUUUUUUUUGUAUUUGGCCUAAGUAUUCUAGUGGGCGUGAAGAUCCCAAGCGUGCAUGUAGAAUUAUUCAUCCGAUGGGACACACUUAGCAUGGGUAAAAAUUUCAAUCCAGGUAGUGCCAGCAAUUUGCACCAAAACGUAUUUGUGUUUUAUUUACUACUUUUAAUUUAUAUUUAACAUUUUUAAGUUUUUCUGUAAAUAAAAUGAACACUCUGAAAUGAACAUUUGCUUAUAUCAAACUUUUAGAUGCAGAAUUCUUUGCUCCUGUAAAAAAGCUCUUUGUUUUGAGUAUGUAGCUUUAUUAAAGUGUAUUAUUUAUUCAGUAGUCCCUAAAUAAACGACACAAUGUUGCAGAUGUUUCACAAAAUGCAUAACAAUAAUGCAGUGAACACCAUAGAAAUGUUAACAUACAAUUAAAAGUCUCAUGCUUUACAUCCAGAACAUGAUGCACGAUAGGAUGCACAAAGUGAUAUUUGGACGCAGCCUCAGUCUGUCAAAUCAAAGAGACAUACAGAAUGCACAGAGCAGUGGGACUCCAUGAACAGAGUUGAGAACCACUGCUGUAACUCAUUAUGCUUACCUG